UACGUAGGGUGCAAGCGUUAAUCGGAAUUACUGGGCGUAAAGCGUGCGCAGGCGGUUAUGCAAGACAGAUGUGAAAUCCCCGGGCUUAACCUGGGAACCGCAUUUGUGACUGCAUAGCUGGAGUACGGCAGAGGGGGAUGGAAUUCCGCGUGUAGCAGUGAAAUGCGUAGAUAUGCGGAGGAACACCGAUGGCGAAGGCAGUCCCCUGGGCCUGUACUGACGCUCAGGCACGAAAGCGUGGGGAGCAAAAGGG
RNAcentral lists this ribosomal RNA (253 nucleotides) under uncultured bacterium. Its description in RNAcentral is "partial 16S ribosomal RNA". It matches the Rfam family "Bacterial small subunit ribosomal RNA", at positions 524 to 776 of the family's 1533-position model. The record is from RNAcentral.